GAUGAACGCUGGCGGCGUGCUUAACACAUGCAAGUCGAACGAGAAAUGGAGACGGAAACCUUCGGGCGGAAGGCUUCAUUUCGAGUGGCGGCCGGGUGAGUAACGCGUGGGUAACCUGCCUCAUACAGGGGGAUAACAGUUGGAAACGACUGUUAAUACCGCAUAAGACCACAGCACCGCAUGGUGCGGGGGUAAAAACUCCGGUGGUAUGAGAUGGACCCGCGUUCGAUUAGCCAGUUGGCGGGGUAACGGCCCACCAAAGCGACGAUCGAUAGCCGAUCUGAGAGGAUGACCGGCCACAUUGGGACUGAGACACGGCCCAAACUCCGACGGGAGGCAGCAGUGGGGAAUAUUGCGCAAGGGGGGAAACCCUGAUGCAGCGGCGCCGCGUGAGUGAAGAAGUACUUCGGUAUGUAAAGCUCUAUCAGCAGGGAAGAGAAUGACGGUACCUGAUGAAGAAGCCCCGGCUAACUACGUG
Molecule: ribosomal RNA, 478 nt
Filed under: uncultured bacterium
Lineage: Bacteria
Description: partial 16S ribosomal RNA
Rfam family: Bacterial small subunit ribosomal RNA
Source: RNAcentral